GCCCCAUAUGCAAUGGAUACUCCUGUAUGUUGAAUAAUUCAUUAUCUUGUCUAAUGUACUAUGAAGUAUGGUGAAUGAUAUAUGAUACAAGUCUUACAAUGGCAUUUUCCUUGUCAAUUUGGGGAACGAUCCACCCUUCCAGGAAAGGUUUGCUUAAUUUACUUUGUGGGUCUGAUGAAACCAAUUUCAACAACCGUAUUCCUAGUUCUGAUUGUUGGAAUCUCCAGACCUAUGGGCCAUAUGUGUCAAAAAUU
RNAcentral lists this unclassified non-coding RNA (254 nucleotides) under Hevea brasiliensis (rubber tree). Lineage: Eukaryota; Viridiplantae; Streptophyta; Magnoliopsida; Malpighiales; Euphorbiaceae. The record is from RNAcentral.